AGAGUUUGAUCCUGGCUCAGGAUGAACGCUAGCGGUGUGCCUAAUGCAUGCAAGUCGAACGGUAGCCUUUGGACUCGUCUGAAGGUGAGAGUGGCGAACGGGUGAGUAACACGUUGGUGACCUACCCCAAAGAGAGGGACAACCAUUGGAAACGAUGGCUAAUACCUCGGAUGUACUACUAUUUAGAAAGGUAGUACUAAAGCUCCGGCGCUUUGGGAGGGGCCUGCGGUCCAUCAGCUAGUUGGUAAGGUAAUGGCUUACCAAGGCAAAGACGGAUAGGGGGCGUGAGAGCGUGACCCCCCACACUGGUACUGAGACACGGACCAGAUACCUGCGGGUAGCAGCAGCAAGGAAUAUUGCGCAAUCGACGAAAGUCGGACGCAGCAACACCGCGUGAAGGAUGAAGGCUUUCGGGUCGUAAACUUCUUUUCUGGGGGAAGAGAAAGGACGGUACCCCAGGAAUAAGUCUCGGCUAACUACGUGCCAGCAGCCGCGGUAAAACGUAGGAGGCGAGCGUUAUCCGGAUUUAUUGGGCGUAAAGCGCAUGCAGGCUGUUUUCUAAGUCGGACGUGAAAGCUCCUGGCUCAACUGGGAGAGGCC
This 600-nucleotide ribosomal RNA is filed under the name uncultured bacterium. Its description in RNAcentral is "bacterial SSU rRNA". It matches the Rfam family "Bacterial small subunit ribosomal RNA", at positions 8 to 624 of the family's 1533-position model. The record is from RNAcentral.